UGUCGGUCCCCUCGCGACACGAAACCGUAAACCUGGUCAGGCCCGGAAGGGAGCAGCCAUAGCGGUGGACUGUGCGCCGGGGUGUGGCUGGCAGGU
Molecule: signal recognition particle RNA, 96 nt
Filed under: Gammaproteobacteria bacterium
Lineage: Bacteria; Pseudomonadati; Pseudomonadota; Gammaproteobacteria
Description: signal recognition particle sRNA small type
Rfam family: Bacterial small signal recognition particle RNA
About the family: The signal recognition particle (SRP) is a universally conserved ribonucleoprotein involved in the co-translational targeting of proteins to membranes. Archaeal SRP consists of a 7S RNA and homologues of the eukaryotic SRP19 and SRP54 proteins. In most bacteria, the SRP consists of a 4.5S RNA and the Ffh protein (a homologue of the eukaryotic SRP54 protein).
Source: RNAcentral